Molecule: ribosomal RNA, 1575 nt
Filed under: Salmonella enterica
Lineage: Bacteria; Pseudomonadati; Pseudomonadota; Gammaproteobacteria; Enterobacterales; Enterobacteriaceae
Description: partial 23S ribosomal RNA
Rfam family: Bacterial large subunit ribosomal RNA
Source: RNAcentral
CCCUUCGGGGUGUGACUGCGUACCUUUUGUAUAAUGGGUCAGCGACUUAUAUUCUGUAGCAAGGUUAACCGAAUAGGGGAGCCGGAGGGAAACCGAGUCUUAAUUGGGCGUUAAGUUGCAGGGUAUAGACCCGAAACCCGGUGAUCUAGCCAUGGGCAGGUUGAAGGUUGGGUAACACUAACUGGAGGACCGAACCGACUAAUGUUGAAAAAUUAGCGGAUGACCUGUGGCUGGGGGUGAAAGGCCAAUCAAACCGGGAGAUAGCUGGUUCUCCCCGAAAGCUAUUUAGGUAGCGCCUCGUGAAUUCAUCUCCGGGGGUAGAGCACUGUUUCGGCUAGGGGGCCAUCCCGGCUUACCAACCCGAUGCAAACUGCGAAUACCGGAGAAUGUUAUCACGGGAGACACACGGCGGGUGCUAACGUCCGUCGUGAAGAGGGAAACAACCCAGACCGCCAGCUAAGGUCCCAAAGUCAUGGUUAAGUGGGAAACGAUGUGGGAAGGCCCAGACAGCCAGGAUGUUGGCUUAGAAGCAGCCAUCAUUUAAAGAAAGCGUAAUAGCUCACUGGUCGAGUCGGCCUGCGCGGAAGAUGUAACGGGGCUAAACCAUGCACCGAAGCUGCGGCAGCGACACUGUGUGUUGUUGGGUAGGGGAGCGUUCUGUAAGCCUGUGAAGGUGGCCUGUGAGGGUUGCUGGAGGUAUCAGAAGUGCGAAUGCUGACAUAAGUAACGAUAAAGCGGGUGAAAAGCCCGCUCGCCGGAAGACCAAGGGUUCCUGUCCAACGUUAAUCGGGGCAGGGUGAGUCGACCCCUAAGGCGAGGCCGAAAGGCGUAGUCGAUGGGAAACGGGUUAAUAUUCCCGUACUUGGUGUUACUGCGAAGGGGGGACGGAGAAGGCUAUGUUGGCCGGGCGACGGUUGUCCCGGUUUAAGCGUGUAGGUGUGUGUUCCAGGUAAAUCCGGUUCACUUUAACACUGAGGCGUGAUGACGAGGCACUACGGUGCUGAAGCAACAAAUGCCCUGCUUCCAGGAAAAGCCUCUAAGCAUCAGGUAACAUCAAAUCGUACCCCAAACCGACACAGGUGGUCAGGUAGAGAAUACCAAGGCGCUUGAGAGAACUCGGGUGAAGGAACUAGGCAAAAUGGUGCCGUAACUUCGGGAGAAGGCACGCUGACACGUAGGUGAAGUGAUUUACUCAUGGAGCUGAAGUCAGUCGAAGAUACCAGCUGGCUGCAACUGUUUAUUAAAAACACAGCACUGUGCAAACACGAAAGUGGACGUAUACGGUGUGACGCCUGCCCGGUGCCGGAAGGUUAAUUGAUGGGGUCAGCGCAAGCGAAGCUCCUGAUCGAAGCCCCGGUAAACGGCGGCCGUAACUAUAACGGUCCUAAGGUAGCGAAAUUCCUUGUCGGGUAAGUUCCGACCUGCACGAAUGGCGUAAUGAUGGCCAGGCUGUCUCCACCCGAGACUCAGUGAAAUUGAACUCGCUGUGAAGAUGCAGUGUACCCGCGGCAAGACGGAAAGACCCCGUGAACCUUUACUAUAGCUUGACACUGAACAUUGAGCCUUGAUGUGUAG